GACGAACGCUGGCGGCGUGCUUAACACAUGCAAGUCGAACGUGAUUUUUGUGGAAAUUCUUUCGGGAAUGGAAAUGAAAUGAAAGUGGCGAACGGGUGAGUAACACGUGGGCAACCUACCUUACACAGGGGGAUAGCCGUUGGAAACGACGAUUAAUACCGCAUGAGACCACAGAAUCGCAUGAUAUAGGGGUCAAAGAUUUAUCGGUGUAAGAAGGGCUCGCGUCUGAUUAGCUAGUUGGAAGGGUAAAGGCCUACCAAGGCGACGAUCAGUAGCCGGUCUGAGAGGAUGAACGGCCACAUUGGAACUGAGACACGGUCCAAACUCCUACGGGAGGCAGCAGUGGGGAAUAUUGCACAAUGGGGGGAACCCUGAUGCAGCGACGCCGCGUGAGCGAAGAAGGUUUUCGAAUCGUAAAGCUCUGUCCUAUGAGAAGAUAAUGACGGUAUCAUAGGAGGAAGCCCCGGCUAAAUACGUGCCAGCAGCCGCGGUAAUACGUAUGGGGCGAGCGUUGUCCGGAAUUAUUGGGCGUAAAGGGUACGUAGGCGGUUUUUUAAGUCAGGUGUGAAAGCGUGAGGCUUAACCUCAUUAAGCACUUGAAACUGGAAGACUUGAGUGAAGGAGAGGAAAGUGGAAUUCCUAGUGUAGCGGUGAAAUGCGUAGAUAUUAGGAGGAAUACCGGUGGCGAAGGCGACUUUCUGGACCUUUACUGACGCUCAGGUACGAAAGCGUGGGGAGCAAACAGG
Molecule: ribosomal RNA, 746 nt
Filed under: uncultured Parvimonas sp.
Lineage: Bacteria; Bacillati; Bacillota; Tissierellia; Tissierellales; Peptoniphilaceae
Description: bacterial SSU rRNA
Rfam family: Bacterial small subunit ribosomal RNA
Source: RNAcentral